CAUGCUCCCGAGUGUCCUCAAACGUCUCUUUGGGUGUUUUCUUCCUACUCAAAGUUUACUUUCGCAUUCCUGAACUUCGUGGAGUGGAGCUUGUUGUUGGUGUGUGAAGAAACUGUUAGAGAUGAGGAGCCACCAGUGAAGCUGCUCUAUCAGCUCUCCUGCAGCCUGAGCGUGGUCCACAGUACCUGCUGUCAGACUGACACAUCUGUUUGAGUGUGAAGGUAGAAAGUGUGUGUGAGCUGAAUUGAGCAGCAUGGAUCAGUGUGAGGACAGAGAG
Long non-coding RNA from Oreochromis niloticus (Nile tilapia), 277 nucleotides. RefSeq lists it as uncharacterized. The record is from RefSeq and is a predicted model, not a curated record. Lineage: Eukaryota; Metazoa; Chordata; Actinopteri; Cichliformes; Cichlidae. The transcript has 3 exons.